AUCUGGGCGGCGGAAUUCAAGACGGCUGGCGGGCCUCGCGCUCGUUCGGCCGUUUGAUAUUUCCGUCGCCGUGUCAGACGUCGCGACCUGUUUGUCGUCGGUCCUUGCUCGGAGGAAUUGCGAUCGAGUUCGUUGCGGGCGCGUUUCGGCGUGCUUCGCGGCGAAGACGCGACUCUCUGGCUGACGACGGACAGUAAGCAACGGUGUCCGGCGCAGUGUCUCGCACUCGGCGUCGGUGCCGGUCAGCGACGAUUUCUUCGGGCCUCUUUCCGACCCGUCUUGAAACACGGACCAAGGAGUCUAACAUGCGCGCGAGUCGCGGGGUUUCGAGCGUACCACGGUGCGCUCGUUACUUCCGAAACCCGUACGUUGAAGGCGUAAUGAAAGUGAAUAGGGAAGAUGGCGUUCCGAGUCCACGUACCGUGAUCGAGUAUCGCGGCCGGACGUCCGCACUCCCGGGGCGUCUCAAUGGUUCGCCACGGAUGCGGACGAUCGUCUUUCGGGGCGGUCGUCGGUCUGUGGCGGUCCGA
This 530-nucleotide ribosomal RNA is filed under the name Chionaspis americana. RNAcentral describes it as "partial 28S ribosomal RNA". Lineage: Eukaryota; Metazoa; Arthropoda; Insecta; Hemiptera; Diaspididae. The record is from RNAcentral.